ACUUGCAGCCACACUAUUUUAUGCUGUGAUCUUGUCAGACUGCAUAACCUAAGCACAGUCAGGCCUGGUCAGUACUUGGAUUGGUGACCUCAGUGGAAAUCCUCAAUGCCACAGGAA
Chelonoidis abingdonii (Abingdon island giant tortoise) is the source of this 117-nucleotide ribosomal RNA. Lineage: Eukaryota; Metazoa; Chordata; Testudines; Testudinidae. The record is from Ensembl.